This 82-nucleotide transfer RNA is filed under the name Lentimicrobiaceae bacterium. RNAcentral's name for it is "tRNA-Leu". It matches the Rfam family "tRNA". From Rfam's summary of the family: Transfer RNA (tRNA) molecules are approximately 80 nucleotides in length. Their secondary structure includes four short double-helical elements and three loops (D, anti-codon, and T loops). Lineage: Bacteria; Pseudomonadati; Bacteroidota; Bacteroidia; Bacteroidales; Lentimicrobiaceae. RNAcentral also lists the same sequence under 1 other name. The record is from RNAcentral.
GCGGAUGUGGCGGAACUGGCAGACGCGUCAGACUUAGGAUCUGGUGCCGAAAGGCGUGGGGGUUCGAGUCCCUUCAUCCGCA